This 481-nucleotide ribosomal RNA is filed under the name uncultured bacterium. RNAcentral's name for it is "partial 16S ribosomal RNA". It matches the Rfam family "Bacterial small subunit ribosomal RNA", at positions 356 to 829 of the family's 1533-position model. The record is from RNAcentral.
AGGGAAUCUUCCACAAUGGACGAAAGUCUGAUGGAGCAACGCCGCGUGAGUGAUGAAGGGUUUCGGCUCGUAAAACUCUGUUGUUGGAGAAGAACAGGUGUCAGAGUAACUGUUGACAUCUUGACGGUAUCCAACCAGAAAGCCACGGCUAACUACGUGCCAGCAGCCGCGGUAAUACGUAGGUGGCAAGCGUUGUCCGGAUUUAUUGGGCGUAAAGCGAGCGCAGGCGGUUUCUUAGGUCUGAUGUGAAAGCCUUCGGCUUAACCGGAGAAGUGCAUCGGAAACCAGGAGACUUGAGUGCAGAAGAGGACAGUGGAACUCCAUGUGUAGCGGUGAAAUGCGUAGAUAUAUGGAAGAACACCAGUGGCGAAGGCGGCUGUCUGGUCUGUAACUGACGCUGAGGCUCGAAAGCAUGGGUAGCGAACAGGAUUAGAUACCCUGGUAGUCCAUGCCGUAAACGAUGAGUGCUAAGUGUUGGAGG